This 26-nucleotide non-coding RNA is filed under the name Homo sapiens (human). The record is from RNAcentral. Lineage: Eukaryota; Metazoa; Chordata; Mammalia; Primates; Hominidae.
UUCCCACACGAUCAUGAGUUAUGCUG